GUAUGGAUUCGGUGGUUGUUGCCAUCUUCUGCGUUUUAGGCCUCAACAAGAAGAUGAGUCAUGGGGAACGGUAACAGAAAGGUAGAAAGAACGAAGCCAUGGAUUUAUUCACUGCUAUCAUGGGUAACGGUUUAGCAGAUGAUCUUGCUGAUCCUCUUAUAUCCAUGAGGGACAAUUAUCUCCUUUUUCUUCCAUCAUUUGCCUUUAUACCAGUCCCUGCGAAUGUUAAACCUGCAAGAAGUGACAUUCAUCACACUUCCACUACAUCUACAUGACUCUGCAGGUACAUUUUUCAUCUUAAAUAUCAUCUCAAUCCUUCAUGGCCAAUUGGUCAUACAUCGAACUUCUCCAAUUUUAUCAAGUUAACUUUGUUUAUAAACGAAAAGGUUAGUUUAUAUUUACCAAUAGAUGAUACUGAUUAUAUGUUUGUAAUACUUGGGGCUGUAGAUUUUUUUCUUCACAUAUUCUUCUCUAUAUAGAUCCGUUUGAUGCUCUAUAAGUUUAUAUAUUUAACUACAUGCCAACGGAGGAAAGUUUCACCCAUUUUUUCUCAGUUGAUCACAUCUUCAAACCAUUUGUUGAUUAGGGGGAUAGGAGUGAAUAUAAAUGUGUGGUUUGCCAGGAUGACUUGAUUAGUUCACAACGCAAACCUGCUAUGAACAGAUUGGAUUGGAAAUGUGCAUUAUGGUACUUCAACUAUUUAGAUCUCAAGUAAUAUUAUUCUGCGCUGCUGCACAGCCCAUAAUUACUGUGUAUCAAUUUGAAAGUCUAUAAAAAAAUUAUAUCCGUAACUGCUCUGACUAUACACAAACUGAAACUUCAGAAUAUUUUAGUCGUUUAGGUCCAUACACGUAUGCAUCAACUAGAUAGUAUUAUGAAAUUUCAUGUGAGGUAUGGAAGAAACGAGUUUACUAUCCUACAUAAUAUCUUUUCUAAGUAUGAAUGUAUUUAGCCAGCAUAACACAAACCUCUCUUUCAAACGGUUACAGUCAUUUGGAACAUCUGACUGUCUAUUUGAUACCAGCAGAAGCAUUUAGGCCUGAUAGUAAUGUUGGGGUCUUCUGUUAUUGUGGGAUUGUUAUGUUCUUUUUCUGUAAGUUAAAUAUAGUUGAAGAAAGGUAUAGGAAAUUUAUGCAUUGAUACUACAUGGGCAUGACCAAUAGAUGCCCGUACAGAUGGCACGCUAAGGAGUAUUUGUACCAUUUAGACAGAAUUAACUUUGUCUUACUCCGACUUACAAUAAGCUCUGCUUAGAGAUCUUGAUUUUUUUCGGUCAUGAGAAAUAAUUUUUCUGUCAUGAGAUAUAAAUAUUUCAAUUUAAAUGCGGAGAAGAUUUAUCAGUUUACCAGCUUGGCCGAGCUACUGAAAAUGUUGCAAACUGGGUUACUGGCUUCCCGGAAAUAAUUCAGAGGCAAGAUGCAAGCACAAGUAUCAGUUUCUUCGUUCCUCAUACUCUCUUGGGCUGGCAUCAUAGAGAGGGUAGCUGGAGGUUGUUUUAACUUGGUAUCGACUGCCGCAAUCAGCCUUGAUGUAACAGAUGGGGACGGUGCACGACCUGGAGACAGGAAACGUGAUAUAUCAGAAAGUAAUUGACUGUUCAUGGUAAAUCUCGCUGCACCCUGCAUGUACAGAACAUUACUCCCACGACCAUGCAAGGAGAAGAUGAGCCCAAUGCAGCACCUUCCCCUGCCGCUCACCAUGCCUUCCAGUAAGGACAAAAAUCUGCGCCUGUCCUCGCUUCCCCGUCCCAAACUGCAAUUCCGGCCAUUGAUCACUGGAGCACCCAUCUUACCUAAUCUGCUAAGUAAUAAGUACCAGCGUACAUCAGUACCAUCUCAAAAAAAAAAGCGUACAUCAGUACCAUUAGCUGAUCUGCCAGUUAGGUAGCUCUAUGUAAUGAAGUAGCAAUGUAAGUUAUAGCCCUAGCUCAUAUAACGGUUAUGUCACACGAUCCUACUAGCUAUGUAAUCCUGUAGGAAAAUAUAUAAGGACGAACAGCUAAUUCGUGUACUCUUCCCACAUGUAUAACUUCUUAAUCACGUCAUGUAACUAUACGCAAUGUGUUGUAUCUAUAUAAGGACCCACUUUUCAGAUUUCAGAACAUAGUUAUGUUAAGAUUGAGCGGGAAUGUUAAGAUAGUUAGGCAAGAAUCCUAACCAUCCUUUCCUAACUAUAUAUUCAGGAACAGAAAAUUGACAUAUAAGGAGACACUUUUCAGAUCGCCGCAUGAAGAGUUGUUGAAUAGCCUGAUGAUAUGAUAAUUGUAUAGAGGAGACUGCUUUGCUCAUACUUCAUACUGUAUUCAGGUUAACAUACAACUGAACAGUCAAUAUAUUGGGUGGUAUAUUGGGUGAAUCUUUUUAUGUCCAGCCAUUUCGAUACUUUGAUCAUAAGCAU
Lolium rigidum is the source of this 2397-nucleotide long non-coding RNA. RefSeq lists it as uncharacterized. Lineage: Eukaryota; Viridiplantae; Streptophyta; Magnoliopsida; Poales; Poaceae. The transcript is spliced from 3 exons. The record is from RefSeq and is a predicted model, not a curated record.